GACGAACGCUGGCGGCGUGCUUAACACAUGCAAGUCGAACGGAAAGGCCCUGCUUUUGUGGGGUGCUCGAGUGGCGAACGGGUGAGUAACACGUGAGUAACCUGCCCUUGACUUUGGGAUAACUUCAGGAAACUGGGGCUAAUACCGGAUAGGAGCUCCUGCUGCAUGGUGGGGGUUGGAAAGUUUCGGCGGUUGGGGAUGGACUCGCGGCUUAUCAGCUUGUUGGUGGGGUAGUGGCUUACCAAGGCUUUGACGGGUAGCCGGCCUGAGAGGGUGACCGGCCACAUUGGGACUGCGAUACGGCCCAGACUCCUACGGGAGGCAGCAGUGGGGAAUAUUGCACAAUGGGCGGAAGCCUGAUGCAGAAACGCCGCGUGCGGGAUGACGGCCUUCGGGCUGUAAACCGCUUUCGCCUGUGACGAAGCGUGAGUGACGGUAAUGGGUAAAGAAGCACCGGCUAACUACGUG
Molecule: ribosomal RNA, 468 nt
Filed under: uncultured bacterium
Lineage: Bacteria
Description: partial 16S ribosomal RNA
Rfam family: Bacterial small subunit ribosomal RNA
Source: RNAcentral